This 444-nucleotide ribosomal RNA is filed under the name uncultured bacterium. Its description in RNAcentral is "partial 16S ribosomal RNA". It matches the Rfam family "Bacterial small subunit ribosomal RNA", at positions 338 to 795 of the family's 1533-position model. The record is from RNAcentral.
CCUACGGGAGGCAGCAGUGGGGAAUAUUGGGCAAUGGGCGCAAGCCUGACCCAGCAACGCCGCGUGAAGGAAGAAGGCUUUCGGGUUGUAAACUUCUUUUCUGAGGGACGAAGAAAGUGACGGUACCUCAGGUAUCAGCAACGGCUAACUACGUGCCAGCAGCCGCGGUAAUACGUAGGUGGCAAGCGUUAUCCGGAUUUAUUGGGUGUAAAGGGCGUGUAGGCGGGAAAGCAAGUCAGAUGUGAAAACUUAGGGCUGAACCCUGAGCCUGCAUUUGAAACUGUUUUUCUUGAGUGCUGGAGAGGCAAUCGGGAUUCCGUGUGUAGCGGUGAAAUGCGUAGAUAUACGGAGGAACACCAGUGGCGAAGGCGGAUUGCUGGACAGUAACUGACGCUGGGGCGCGAAAGCGUGGGGAGCAAACAGGAUUAGAUACCCCUUGUAGUC